AACGAACGCUGGCGGCAUGCCUAACACAUGCAAGUCGAACGAGAUCACUCGAGGUCUAGUCGCUUACGGGUGGGUAACGCCUGGGGAUUUGCGCUUAGAUCCGGAAUAACUGUUAGAAAUGACUUCUAGUACCGGAUGAUGACGUUAAGUCCAAAGAUUUAUCCCGUUAGGAUGAGCCCGAGUAGGAUUAGUUAGUUGGUGUGGUAACGGCGCACCAAGUCGACGAUCCUUAGCUGGGCAGAGAGGAUGGUCAGCCACACUGGGCCUGAGACACGGCCCAGAAUCCUACGGGAGGCAGGAAAGGCGGAUCCAGCAAAACCGCGUGAGGCAUGAACCAGCUCGGCUGGGUGAGCGCUGAUGGCGUGAGAGAAGAAAAGCUCGUUUACCCGGGAUGAUAAUGACGGUACCGAAAGAAUAAGCCCCGGCUAACUCCGUG
This 436-nucleotide ribosomal RNA is filed under the name uncultured bacterium. RNAcentral's name for it is "partial 16S ribosomal RNA". It matches the Rfam family "Bacterial small subunit ribosomal RNA", at positions 29 to 507 of the family's 1533-position model. The record is from RNAcentral.